CUACGGGGCGCUGUAGUGAGGAAUAUUGCACAAUGGGGGGAACCCUGAUGCAGCAACGCCGCGUGGAGGAUGACGCAUUUCGGUGUGUAAACUCCUUUUAUAUGUCAAGAAAAUGACGGUAGCAUAUGAAUAAGCACCGGCUAACUCCGUGCCAGCAACCGCGGUAAUACGGAGGGUGCAAGCGUUACUCGGAAUCACUGGGCGUAAAGGACGCGUAGGCGGGUUGGAAAGUCAGGUGUGAAAUCCUACAGCUUAACUGUAGAACUGCACUUGAAACUUCUAAUCUAGAGUAUGGGAGGGGGAGAUGGAAUUAGUGGUGUAGGGGUAAAAUCCGUAGAUAUCACUAGGAAUACCUAAAGCGAAGGCGAUCUCCUGGAACAUUACUGACGCUAAGGCGUGAAAGCGUGGGGAGCAAACAGGAUUAGAUACCCGGGUAGUC
Molecule: ribosomal RNA, 439 nt
Filed under: uncultured bacterium
Lineage: Bacteria
Description: partial 16S ribosomal RNA
Rfam family: Bacterial small subunit ribosomal RNA
Source: RNAcentral